Molecule: ribosomal RNA, 497 nt
Filed under: uncultured bacterium
Lineage: Bacteria
Description: partial 16S ribosomal RNA
Rfam family: Bacterial small subunit ribosomal RNA
Source: RNAcentral
GAUGAACGCUGGCGGCGUGCCUAAUACAUGCAAGUCGAGCGAACGGACGAGAAGCUUGCUUCUCUGAUGUUAGCGGCGGACGGGUGAGUAACACGUGGAUAACCUACCUAUAAGACUGGGAUAACUUCGGGAAACCGGAGCUAAUACCGGAUAAUAUUUUGAACCGCAUGGUUCAAAAGUGAAAGCCGGCCUUGCUGUCACUUAUAGAUGGAUCCGCGCUGCAUUAGGUAGUUGGUAAGGUAACGGCUUACCAAGGCAACGAUGCAUAGCCGACCUGAGAGGGUGAUCGGCCACACUGGAACUGAGACACGGUCCAGACUCCUACGGGAGGCAGCAGUAGGGAAUCUUCCGCAAUGGGCGAAAGCCUGACGGAGCAACGCCGCGUGAGUGAUGAAGGUCUUCGGAUCGUAAAACUCUGUUAUUAGGGAAGAACAUAUGUUUAAGUAACUGUGCACAUCUUGACGGUACCUAAUCAGAAAGCCACGGCUAACUACGUG